Molecule: long non-coding RNA, 1515 nt
Organism: Brassica rapa (field mustard)
Lineage: Eukaryota; Viridiplantae; Streptophyta; Magnoliopsida; Brassicales; Brassicaceae
Source: RefSeq, a predicted model, not a curated record
GCAUCUUGCCGAUUAGAAUCAGGACGCCUGGAGCAAUCGGUUCCCUGGAAACCUCCGCAGAUAAUGUUACCUUAUCUUCGAGCACCAUCCAGAGUUCGAAAGAAUUGCAACGCGACAGAACGAUGACAUCGUCACGCCCCAAACCAAUCGUUACGUCUCCCACUUUUUCUUUUGCUUUCACUUCUCAUAAUGUUUUCUUUUUGUAUUUUGGGUUGUUGCAGACUGGGUGCUCCGAGGUACCAGAUGAUUAUAUUAGACCAGAUCUCAAUCGGUUUCCUCUGUUGACUGAUUUCUUAGAAAGUAAUUUACGAUCACCAGAGGAAAAGUGAAGUACUUUCAGUCUCAGUCUCGGGUUUAGUGGACUCGAUAUUAAGGAAAACAUCAUUGCGUUAGUUUAUUCUAAAGCAAAUGUUUACGGGACCUUACUCCAAACCUCAGGUCUACAUAGAAUUUCAACGUGUUGGACACACUCUUCUGUUGAACCAUGACUUUCAGGUGACACAUGUUUUUUGACUUUUUCCCUUGCUGGAAGAGAAUGACUGCUGCAAUCUGUGAGGAUGUUCGUCGCGGAUAUAGAAAGAAACGUUGGGGAUGUUGGGGUGCUACAAAUCCGGAUUUGAUUGACCAAGUAAAGUGCUGAUAAAAAAAGUUUAAUUUAGUAAAACAAUCAUUUUUUAAAAAUAUAUAGAUGGUCUUCAUAUUUAUAAUUCAGUACUGCUUAAUAUCUUCUGUAAUUCAAAUUUAUUUAAACAUCCCCUAGCUGGUCACUAAGCUUACGGUUGCCAUCCUCACUUGAUUGCUCCUGAGCAAGGUUACCAUCGUCUCAUCGAGUCUUCUAUUGUAUUCAUGGGAGGCCCUUCUGAGGUAUAUGUUACAUUGUGCCGUCUCUAACUUGCAUAUUUGAUAUUAAAUGAAUCAGCAACCUAACAAAAACAUGGAAUAACCAUCUUUCCUUUUUUUUUUGGUGUGGUCUAAUAUUUCAGUCUCAUGUGAUCCUCUUGAAGGAUAUGGACAAGUCUGAUUGAUAUGUCGAUAUGUUCUCCCCUUCUGUUAGUAAUAGAUAUACUAUCUCCAAUGUCAAAUUUACUUUGGUCCAUUGUUAUAGAAACAUUGAACAUGUGCAUGAUUAAAUUAAUUCAUAUCUAUGAGAGUGUAGGUUACAAACGCGGCAUUGGAAAAAUGUGGGAGGAAAGUGAGAAAGCAACACUGCUGGUGGACCGAAGAGUGUAACGCGGCCAUUGGACAAAUGUGGGAGGAAAGUAAGAAAUCAACACUGCUGGGCUGGUGGACCGAAGAGACCUUUAGGUUGCGUAAUUUUUGUAAGAUGAUCUACUCUGGAAAACAUCAUGCCGUGUUGUUUUAAUAAAACAUCACAAAGUUUGUUCCGCUGCCUUUUUGUUUGUGUUCGUUUGCGGCCAUCAGCUCAUAUGCAUGCGUUCUUGACAUCAGUUAUAUUUGUUUAGUUAUGUAGAGAAGAGAUCUUUACUCUUUUGGUGUUAUUAAAUCCUUUUAUUA